GAUGAAGAACGUAGCGAAAUGCGAUAAGUAAUGUGAAUUGCAGAAUUCAGUGAAUCAUCGAAUCUUUGAACGCACAUUGCGCCCGCCAGUAUUCUGGCGGGCAUGCCUGUUCGAGCGUCAUUUCAACCCUCAAGCCCCAGCGGCCUGGUGUUGGGGACCGGCGACCUCGCCCGAGCCCGCCCUCCUGGGCGCGUGCCCGGUGCGUCCGCCGCCCCCGAAAUGAAUUGGCGGCCUCGUCGCGGCCUCCUCUGCGUAGUAGCACAACCUCGCAAGCGGGAGCGCGACGCGGCCACUGCCGUAAAACGCCCAACUUUUUUAGAGUUGACCUCGGAUCAGGUAGGAAUACCCGCUGAACUUAAGCAUAUCAAUAAGCGGAGGA
This 379-nucleotide unclassified non-coding RNA is filed under the name soil metagenome. RNAcentral's name for it is "partial contains 5.8S ribosomal RNA, internal transcribed spacer 2, and large subunit ribosomal RNA". The stretch from base 1 to 120 matches the Rfam family "5.8S ribosomal RNA", at positions 35 to 154 of the family's 154-position model. The record is from RNAcentral.